UGAGGACACAUUGAUGUUUCAUGAGCUUGUCCUUCAGCAGCAGUCAUACCUCAUAAGGACACUUUAAAAAGAGCACUUCGGAAAGUGGCAAGAAUGCUGGGAUACGUGUUUUUGAAGAAAUGGAGAAUAUUUCCAGGUUGGAUUUAUCAAUCAGUAGAGGUAUAUGUUAAUUCCAUUCACAAUGAAAUUUCCCCCG
Molecule: long non-coding RNA, 196 nt
Filed under: Fukomys damarensis (Damara mole-rat)
Lineage: Eukaryota; Metazoa; Chordata; Mammalia; Rodentia; Bathyergidae
Description: lncRNA (ENSFDAG00000024619.1)
Source: RNAcentral